GAGGUGUGGCAGCGCGGUGAGCCGGAUUUGCACCCCGCGCAAGGCCGCGUUCUCAUCGCUCGCCCUGCUGGCAUGGCAGCGCUAGAGCAGGCAUUCCACGGGAGAGCGCUGUAUGCCACCAUCAUUGGACAACCGCGGAGCUUGGUGACGCCGGAGGCACUCGCUGCGGCGAUGGCGUCUCAUUGUGCCAUCAGGCUGGCAGCCAUGAAGGUGGAGGUGACCAGCCCACCAUUCCACUUUUUCGUGCGGUUUGACUCGCUGGAGGAUUGCACUCAUGUGGUGCUCGCGUCGGAGCAGGUGUGUUGCGGCGGCGGCAGAAUUAGUUUUCAACGUUGGUCAAGUUUGUCGCGUGGUAGGCCGUCGAAGCUGGAGUACAAGACGACGCUGAGUUUGGAGGGGCUCCCAGAAGAGGCGUGGGACCCGGAUACUGUCAACCUGGUGCUCACCGGUGUCGACGGUGAGCUCAUCGACAUGCUCCCGGCUACUGACAAGUGGGUGCUGCCUUGCACAGCGUGGCUACGCAAUCCUAGUGCCAUUCCGAAGGUGCUCACUGUCUCUGCUCCGGCUCCUCCUCUGCAACCGUGGACGCCAGACUCCGAUGACGAGAAUGCUCAUUCACCGCCGUGCCCGAACUCUCCAAUUGAUCGUGGCACCAUUGAUUUUACAAUGGCCAUACAUGUCAAGGAGGUCAUCGACCAUGGCCCAUUGCUAACUGAAGGGUUGCCUAAUGAGUUACUCCCCGAUGAAGACGUCGAUCUCAGCCGCAAGCACACUUUCACAACCUGGCGCGGCAAGAUAGAUGGU
This 804-nucleotide ribosomal RNA is filed under the name Triticum aestivum (bread wheat). Its description in RNAcentral is "partial small subunit ribosomal RNA". Lineage: Eukaryota; Viridiplantae; Streptophyta; Magnoliopsida; Poales; Poaceae. The record is from RNAcentral.